RNAcentral lists this long non-coding RNA (840 nucleotides) under Equus asinus (donkey). RNAcentral describes it as "lncRNA (ENSEASG00005030448.1)". The record is from RNAcentral. Lineage: Eukaryota; Metazoa; Chordata; Mammalia; Perissodactyla; Equidae.
AGAAUGUGACAGGGGCUGUGACAAAGGCUGUGACAGAGACUAUGGGACUGUGACAGAUGUGACGGGCUAUGACAGGGACUAUGAUGGGGCUGUGCAGGGGCUGUGACAGAAGUGACAGGGCUGUAAUAGGGGCUAAGAAAGGGGCUGUGACAGGUCCUGGGACAGGGGCUGUGAAAGACUGGGAGAGGGACUGGGACAGAAAAGUGACUAGAAUCUGGAACCACAAUCAGAGUUGGGACAACAGCUCCUCGAGCCCAGGCCCACACUCCCACAGUCGACAGAGCAGUUGGCGGUGACAACAGCAACACAGCAAACACACGGGCCCAGCCAGGCCCAGGCAUGUGUGGAAAUGCCAGCAGGCUGAAGCUGCCAUAGGAAGAGAGCAAGAGGGAGCCACACAAGAGGAGUUGACUGGGGAGGAAGGACAAGGAAGGAGGAGAAUGUGGCUGGCAGGAGGAAGAAGGCAAAGAAGAGGAAGCUGAGCAAAAAAGUGCUUUCUCGAAAGGAGAUGAAGUUCAUGCUGUCUGCUGGAAGAAGGAAAGGGGGACAGCACCUCUUGGGAACUGCUGACACCAGAAAUGAAGAUGGAUUUUUCUGCAGGUCCUAUUACAGAAGCUUUGUGAAUAUUACUCUCACUAACUCUGGUUUGCUACGGCCACAGACAGCUGGAUGUAUUUCUUUCCCUCAUCCACGGCUCCUGACCUGGCAUCCUGACUCACGGACUGCUGUCACCUGUCAUACCAGAUUUUGGUCCUGGUAACCCAUACCAGCCAUCUUGUCCUGGCAACCUCAUCAUCUCGGUUAGCUUUACUUAGCGGUUGAAAUAGAGCCCAAAGAUAG